Molecule: small nucleolar RNA, 431 nt
Filed under: Naumovozyma dairenensis CBS 421
Lineage: Eukaryota; Fungi; Ascomycota; Saccharomycetes; Saccharomycetales; Saccharomycetaceae
Description: Small nucleolar RNA snR37
Rfam family: Small nucleolar RNA snR37
Source: Rfam by way of RNAcentral
AUCAUCAGUAGCGGUUAAUACUAUCUCAAGAUAAUAUUAAUUACGUUAAAUUAUAGAAACCUACGGUUCAUUUAUUGUUAUCUUUAUGACGGGAGAAUGAUAUCGUCUUUCUUUAUGGAAGAUGUAUUGUUUUUAUCGUUAGUUAAUACUGAGAUGAUGAUUUCUGAAACCAUUACCAUAACCCAUAGCUGAAUGAAUUUUGACUACCUCCAAACAAGGUUAGGCACAAUAUUCAUUUCGUUUCCGGUUUCUUAGAUCAAAUUUACUAUUUAAGAAAGGUAUUUUAUUUCGGUAAAUUAUCCUUUCUUGUUUAUGAUGAAGGUUCCAUAACAAAAAUAAGUGGAAUUAGAUGCAUGUCUUUUCAGAGGGUUGUAUAAUGCAAUCUGAGAGUUUGAAAGUCUUCUGUGCCUCUUCGUCAUGAUAGAACAGAC